GAUGAACGCUGACAGAAUGCUUAACACAUGCAAGUCGAUGGGGAAGUGGUGCUGGCACCAUCGUAACCAUUGCGGACGGGUGAGUAACUCGUAAGUAACUUGCCUGCCUGACUGGGAUAACAGCAUGAAACUGCUGAUAAUACCGGAUAAGGUCAUUAAUCUACAUCGCUUAGUGAUGAAAGGAGACGCCUUCGGAGAGGCUUGCGUCCUAUUAGCUAGUUGGAGGGGUAACGGCCCACCAAGGGGAAGAUAGGUAGCCGGCCUGAGAGGCUGGACGGCCAAAAGGGGAAUGAGAUACGGCCGUUACUCCUACGGGAGGAAGCAGUGGGGAAUAUUGGACCAUGGGGGCAACACUGAUCAAGCAAUUCUGUGUGCACGAAGACGGUUUUCGGAUUGUAAAGUGCUUUCAGCAGGGAAGAAGGACGUGACGGUACCUGAAGAAGAAGCGACGGCUAAAUACGUG
RNAcentral lists this ribosomal RNA (463 nucleotides) under uncultured bacterium. Its description in RNAcentral is "partial 16S ribosomal RNA". It matches the Rfam family "Bacterial small subunit ribosomal RNA", at positions 28 to 507 of the family's 1533-position model. The record is from RNAcentral.